RNAcentral lists this ribosomal RNA (270 nucleotides) under uncultured bacterium. RNAcentral describes it as "partial 16S ribosomal RNA". It matches the Rfam family "Bacterial small subunit ribosomal RNA", at positions 29 to 289 of the family's 1533-position model. The record is from RNAcentral.
AACGAACGCUGGCGGCGCGCCUAAUACAUGCAAGUCGAACGAGAAUGUGUAGCAAUACACAUGUACAGUGGCGAACGGGUGAGGAAUACAUAGGUAACCUACCCUCGAGUGGGGAAUAACUAGCCGAAAGGUUAGCUAAUACCGCGUAAGCUUCCGGGACUGCGGUUCCGGAAGGAAAGCGAUACCGUGGGUAUCGCGCUCUUGGAUGGGCUUAUGUCCUAUCAGCUUGUUGGUGAGGUAACGGCUCACCAAGGCUUCGACGGGUAGCUG